CCAGGACAGGCAGUAGGCGUCAGGGGGCGCCCUAAGGCUCCACGGCAUGUGCCUGUAUUGCUGGGACAUCGAGCCUUCCCAAGUCAACCCUGAGGUGGAGUGGAAAUUACAGAAGUAGGGAGCAGGAUAAAGUUCUCAAUUGCCAGAUGUGGAACAGAUUGCUCUUGGGUCUUCUGGUUAAAAGAUUGGAUCAAAACGAGUGAAGGAGGAGUUAUUUAAGGAAGGACCAAGACAACAUCAUCCUUCAGAGGUCACUGAGCGGCAGCUUGCAAAUAAACGUAUUCAGAAUAUGCAACACCUAAAGAAAGAGAAGAGGAGACUGAAUAAAAGGUUUUCAAGGCCUUCUCCUAUUCCAGAACCAGGACUCCUACUAUGUCUUCCAUUAUGAUGUUGAACAGAAGUGAGAAGUGGUCAUCUUGAUAAAGCAGGAGUCUAUUUGAAGGAAACCAUGCUCCAGACAGAAAUAUGUGGAUUGUGAACAUCAAGUGACAUAUCAUGAAUUGAUCAUCCACAAAAUAAAUGCAAUACUCCACCAUUUCGGAAAAAUAAACACAGUGCAAGUAUUUAAUAUCCAAGCUACAGGCUCUAGAAUUUUAUUAAAUGCCA
Molecule: long non-coding RNA, 606 nt
Filed under: Homo sapiens (human)
Lineage: Eukaryota; Metazoa; Chordata; Mammalia; Primates; Hominidae
Description: HSALNT0361835
Source: RNAcentral